UGGGGAAUAUUGGACAAUGGGCGAAAGCCUGAUCCAGCCAUGCCGCGUGUGUGAAGAAGGUCUUCGGAUUGUAAAGCACUUUAAGUUGGGAGGAAGGGCAGUAAGCGACUACAUUGCUGUUUUGACGUUACCGACAGAAUAAGCACCGGCUAACUCUGUGCCAGCAGCCGCGGUAAUACAGAGGGUGCAAGCGUUAAUCGGCAUUACUGGUCGUUAAGCGAGCGUAGGUGGUUCGUUAAGUUGAAUGUGAAAGCGCCGGGCUCAACCUGGGAACUACAUCCAAAACUGGCGAGCAAGAGUAGGGCAGAGGGUGGUGGAAUUUCCUGUGUAGCGGUGAAAUGCGUAGAUAUAGGAAGGAACACCAGUGGCGAAGGCGACCACCUGGGCUCAUACUGACACUGAGGUACGAAAGCGUGGGGGGCAAACAGG
This 429-nucleotide ribosomal RNA is filed under the name Pseudomonadota bacterium. RNAcentral describes it as "Proteobacteria bacterium partial 16S ribosomal RNA". It matches the Rfam family "Bacterial small subunit ribosomal RNA", at positions 355 to 776 of the family's 1533-position model. Lineage: Bacteria; Pseudomonadati; Pseudomonadota. The record is from RNAcentral.